This 424-nucleotide ribosomal RNA is filed under the name uncultured bacterium. RNAcentral describes it as "bacterial SSU rRNA". It matches the Rfam family "Bacterial small subunit ribosomal RNA", at positions 355 to 776 of the family's 1533-position model. The record is from RNAcentral.
UGAGGAAUAUUGGUUAAUGGCCGGGAGGCUGAACCAGCCAAGUCGCGUGAGGGAAGACGGCCCUACGGGUUGUAAACCUCUUUUGUCGGGGAGCAAAUUCCGCCACGUGUGGCGGAGUCNAGAGUACCCGAAGAAAAAGCAUCGGCUAACUCCGUGCCAGCAGCCGCGGUAAUACGGAGGAUGCGAGCGUUAUCCGGAUUUAUUGGGUUUAAAGGGUGCGUAGGCGGACUGUCAAGUCAGCGGUAAAAUACGGGGGCUCAACCUCCGCCCGCCGUUGAAACUGACGGUCUUGAGUGGGCGAGAAGUAUGCGGAAUGCGUGGUGUAGCGGUGAAAUGCAUAGAUAUCACGCAGAACUCCGAUUGCGAAGGCAGCAUACCGGCGCCCAACUGACGCUGAAGCACGAAAGCGUGGGUAUCGAACAGG